ACUCUCGGCAAUGGAUAUCUCGGCUCUCGCAUCGAUGAAGAACAUAGCGAAAUGUGAUAACUAGUGUGAAAUGCAGAAUCCCAUGAACCAUCGAGUCUUUAAACGCAAGUUAUGCCCGAGGCCAUCCGGCUAAGGGCACGCCUACCUGGGCGUCACACUUUCAACGCUUUGUCGUUGCCUCCUUGGGGGGUGGGGGCGAACGCGGAGGAUGGCCCCCCGUGCCAGAAGGUGUGGUUGGCCAAAGAGCGGGCCGCAGUGGUUGUCGAACAUGACGUGUGGUGGAUGCCUUGUGUGAGCUGUACAUCGUGCCUUCGAGACCCGGGUGAGGCCUCAAGGACCCAAGUCAUGGUGCGAGUCGAUGCCAUGGACCACGACCUUAGGUCAAGUGGGGCUACCCGUUGAGUUUAAGCAUAUAAAUAAGCGGAGGAGAAGAAACUUACAAGGAUACCCUUAGUAACAGCAAAUGAACCGGGAUAAGCCCAGCUUGAGAAUCGGGCGACUGCAUCGUCUGAAUUGUAGUCUGGAGAGACGUCCUCAGCGACGGACUGGGCCCAAGUCUCCUGGAAAGGGGCGCCGGGGAGGGUGAGAGCCCCAUCCGGCUCAGACCCUAUCGCACCACGAGGCGCUGUCGACGAGUCAGGUUGUUUGGGAAUGCAGCCCCAAUCGGGCAGUAAAUUCCGUCCAAGACUAAAUAUGGGCAAGAGACCGAUAGCAAACAAGUGCCGCGAGGGAAAGAUGAAAAGGACUUUGAAAAGAGAGUCAAAGAGUGCUUGAAAUUGCCGGGAGGGAAGCGGAUGGGGGCCGGCGAUGCACCUUGGUCAGAUGCGGAACGUCGUUUAGCCGAUCCGCCGCUCAGCUCAGGGUGCGGAUUGAUGUGGGCUGCAUCAACGGCCAAAGCCCGGACGGAUCAUUCGUUCGAGGGGAUACCAUCAAUGCGGUCGAGGACAUGACAUGCGCCAUCGGCAUGCCCUGCGGGGUACACGUGCGACCUAGGCAUCAGCCAAUGGGCUCCCCAACCAACCCAUCUUGAAACAUGGACCAAGGAGUCUGACAUGCAUGUGAGUCGACGGGUGCGGAAACCCGAAAGGCACAAGGAAGCUAACGGGCGGGAACCCUCUCGAGGGAUUGCACCACCGGCCGACCCCGAUCUUCUGUGAAGGGUUCGAGUUGGAGCAUGCAUGUCGGGACCCGAAAGAUGGUGAACUAUGCUUGAGCGAAUCGAAGCCAGAGGAAACUCUGGUGGAGGCCCGAAGCGAUACUGAUGUGCAAAUCAUUCGAUUAACUUGGGUAUAGGGGCGAAAGACUAAUCGAACCAUCUAGUAGCUGGUUCCCUCUGAAGCUUACCUCAGAAUAGCUGGAGCCCACGUGCGAGUUCUAUCGGGUAAAGCCAAUGAUUAGAGGCAUUGGGGGUGCAACGCCCUCGACCUAUUCUCAAACUUUAAAUAGGUAGGACGGCGCAGCUGCUUCGUUGAGCCGCAUCGCAGAAUCGAGAGCUCCAUGUGGGCCAUUUUUGGUAAGCAGAACUGGCGAUGCAGGAUGAACUGGAAGCCGGGUUAUGGUGCCCAACUACGCAUUAACCCAGACACCACAAAGGGUGCUGGUCGAUUAAGACAACAGGACAGUGGUCAUGGAAGUCGAAAUCUGCUAAGGAGUGUGUAACAACUCACCUGCCGUAUCAACUAGCCCCGAAAAUGGAUGGCGCUGAAGCGUGUGACCCACACGCGGCCAUCGGGGCGAGCGCUAAGCCCCGAUGAGUAGGAGGGCGUAGCGGUCGCCGCAAAACCCAGGGUGCAAGCCCGGGAGGAGUGGCCAUCGGUACAGAUCUUGGUGGUAGUAGCAAAUAUUCAAAUGAGAACUUUGAAGGCCUAAGAGGGGAAAAGUUCCAUGUGAACGGCACUUGCACAUGGGUUAGCCGAUCCUAAGGGACGGGGGAAGCCCGUUCGAGAGCGUGUCUUCACGCGAGCUCCGAAAGGGAAUCAGGUUAAAAUUCCCGAGCCGAGACGCAGCGGCGGACGACAACGUUAGGAAGUCCCGAGACGCCAGCGAGGGCCUCGGGAAGAGUUAUCUUUUCUGCUUAACGGCCCGCCAACCCUGGAAACGGCUCAGCCAGAGGUAGGGUCCAGUGGUCGGAAGAGCGCCGCACAUCACGCAACAUCCGGUGCACCCCCAACGACUCUUGAAAAUCCAAAGGACUGAGUGCCACCCGUGCCCGAUCGUACUCAUAACCACAUCAAGUCUCCAAGGUGAACAGCCUUUGGCCCAUAGAACAAUGUAGGCAAGGAAAGUCGGCAAAAUGGAUCCGUAACUUCAGGAAAAGGAUUGGCUCUGAGGGUUGGGCAUGGGGGUCCCGGCCCUGAACCUGUCGGCUGUCGACGGACUGCUCGAGCUUCUCUUACGGCGAGAGCGGGUUGCCGUGUGCCGGCCGGGGGACGGACCGAGAAAGGCCCCCUCGAGGGCCUUCCCCGGGCAUCGAACAACCGACUCAGAACUAGUACGGACAAGGGGAAUCCGACUGUUUAAUUAAAACAAAGCAUUGCUAUGGUCCCCGCGGAUGCUCACGCAAUGUGAUUUCUGCCCAGUGCUCUGAAUGUCAAAGUGAAGAAAUUCAACCAAGCGCGAGUAAACAGUGGGAGUAACUAUGACUCUCUUAAGGUAUCCGAAUGCCUCGUCAUCUAAUUAGUGACGCGCAUGAAUGGAUUAAUGAGAUUCCCAUUGUCCUUGUCUACUAUCCAGCGAAACCACAACCAAGGAAACGGGUUUGGCAGAAUCAACGGGGAAAGAAUGUAACAUCCCCCAUUUUUGAAAAUUUAGUAAAAGGUUUGUUUGUAAAAAUAUGGAUUAUUUAAUAAUUAUUUUAUAUUAAAUAAUAUUAUAUUAAAAGUUUAUGGCUAGGUACCUAAGAGUAAAUAUUAGAAGUUUGAUAUAAUUUAUGAAAGAUUCAGAUUUAAGUUAAAAAAAAAUAGUGAACAUGUGUCACUAGCUAACCUAAGGGUGCCACUUAUGUUUACUCUAAAGAUGACACCUAGCCCCUUUCAUGCAUGCAUGACACCUUGCAACUUUUGCAUUAGCCAAAACCAGAAAAAAAAAAAAAAAAAAAAAAGAACUAGAUGAAAGGUUAAAGAAAACAAACCUGAAGAGUUGCAGCCAAUGUGAGUUUGACAAGAGAAGGGAAGAAGAAGAAGAAGAAGAAGAAGAAGAAGAAGAAGAAGAAGAAGAAGAAGAGCUUUAGGUUUUUCAUCAAUUUUCCCACAUUUGG
RNAcentral lists this ribosomal RNA (3256 nucleotides) under Musa schizocarpa. Its description in RNAcentral is "eukaryotic LSU rRNA". The stretch from base 372 to 3047 matches the Rfam family "Eukaryotic large subunit ribosomal RNA". The record is from RNAcentral. Lineage: Eukaryota; Viridiplantae; Streptophyta; Magnoliopsida; Zingiberales; Musaceae.